Molecule: ribosomal RNA, 496 nt
Filed under: uncultured bacterium
Lineage: Bacteria
Description: partial 16S ribosomal RNA
Rfam family: Bacterial small subunit ribosomal RNA
Source: RNAcentral
GAUGAACGCUGGCGGCGUGCCUAAUACAUGCAAGUCGAGCGAACAGACGAGGAGCUUGCUCCUCUGACGUUAGCGGCGGACGGGUGAGUAACACGUGGAUAACCUACCUAUAAGACUGGGAUAACUUCGGGAAACCGGAGCUAAUACCGGAUAAUAUAUUGAACCGCAUGGUUCAAUAGUGAAAGACGGUUUUGCUGUCACUUAUAGAUGGAUCCGCGCCGCAUUAGCUAGUUGGUAAGGUAACGGCUUACCAAGGCAACGAUGCGUAGCCGACCUGAGAGGGUGAUCGGCCACACUGGAGCUGAGACACGGUCCAGACUCCUACGGGAGGCAGCAGUAGGGACUCUGCCGCACUGGGCGAAAGCCUGACGGAGCAACGCAGCGUGAGUGAUGAAGGUCUUCGGAUCGUAAAACUCUGUUAUUAGGGAAGAACAAAUGUGUAAGUAACUAUGCACGUCUUGACGGUACCUAAUCAGAAAGCCACGGUUAACUACGU